GCCCACGUAGCUCAGCCGGCAGAGCAACCGCCUUGUAAGCGGUCGGUCGUCGGUUCGAUUCCGACCGUGGGCU
RNAcentral lists this transfer RNA (73 nucleotides) under Anaerolineae bacterium. Its description in RNAcentral is "tRNA-Thr". It matches the Rfam family "tRNA". Rfam says of the family: Transfer RNA (tRNA) molecules are approximately 80 nucleotides in length. The record is from RNAcentral. Lineage: Bacteria; Bacillati; Chloroflexota; Anaerolineae.